RNAcentral lists this transfer RNA (108 nucleotides) under Aspergillus ellipticus CBS 707.79. It matches the Rfam family "tRNA". From Rfam's summary of the family: Transfer RNA (tRNA) molecules are approximately 80 nucleotides in length. Their secondary structure includes four short double-helical elements and three loops (D, anti-codon, and T loops). Further hydrogen bonds mediate the characteristic L-shaped molecular structure. tRNAs have two regions of fundamental functional importance: the anti-codon, which is responsible for specific mRNA codon recognition, and the 3' end, to which the tRNAs corresponding amino acid is attached (by aminoacyl-tRNA synthetases). tRNAs cope with the degeneracy of the genetic code in two manners: having more than one tRNA (with a specific anti-codon) for a particular amino acid; and 'wobble' base-pairing, i.e. permitting non-standard base-pairing at the 3rd anti-codon position. Lineage: Eukaryota; Fungi; Ascomycota; Eurotiomycetes; Eurotiales; Aspergillaceae. The record is from Rfam by way of RNAcentral.
GGCAAGAUGGCCGAGCGGUCUAAGGCGCCAGGUUAAGGUUCACCUUAACAGCAAGUUUCAAGCUUCCUGGUCAUUAAUUUGGCGUGGGUUCGAAUCCCACUCUUGUCA